AGUAUAAACAGCAAACAACAUAAAUUUAUAAAACCCCAAACCGAAAAGAAAAAUGCACAACCAAGCCAUGCACACGACACGAACAAAGCCCCAAAACCUCGCAAACCUAAAAGCCGCAUCCCAGUAAUAACUUGAGUGGAAAUUCCGACAACACCAAUGAGGUAGAAGUCGUGCAACAAGAACAUAAAACCAAAACCUCGGGACGGAUCACGAUAACUUCUAUCGUUUGUUUCGAUCAGAAUCGAUCACGAUCAACACUAACAAAGCAGCAGGAGAAGUUACCGAUGAGGCAGGAGGGAAGACGCUGCUGAAGUAGCCAGAGGAUGCGGAUGAGGAGGAAGCAGAGGAAGCCGCGGCCUCCUUCCGGCCGAAAAGAUCAUCGGCAAUUCUCGAAGAAGAAGAAGAAGAAGAAGAAGAAGAAGAAGAAGACGAAGCGGUGGGUUUCUUGCCCUCCAUCCUUUGCUUUCCUCUUGGUAUCCCAAGAAACAAAACUACCUCAACCCAGGGUAUUUCUCUAUCACCAAACCCAGAACCCAGCA
This 539-nucleotide long non-coding RNA is filed under the name Phoenix dactylifera (date palm). RNAcentral describes it as "long non-coding RNA (PDAC_LNC021948)". The record is from RNAcentral. Lineage: Eukaryota; Viridiplantae; Streptophyta; Magnoliopsida; Arecales; Arecaceae.